Molecule: long non-coding RNA, 808 nt
Organism: Pleuronectes platessa (European plaice)
Lineage: Eukaryota; Metazoa; Chordata; Actinopteri; Pleuronectiformes; Pleuronectidae
Exons: 12
Source: RefSeq, a predicted model, not a curated record
CUCUGCUAUAAAAGCGCCGCGCACCCUCUACCCAGUCUCAUUCUCCGGCUCGCUCUGCGCAACAGACUCAUCAGUUACGUCGAAUCGAAAAAUGAAGCUGAUCAGCACGUGGCUCCAACGCGGGUCUCCAGGCGUUUGGACCCGUCCAAUGCAUCCCUGGUUGAAGUAUGAUGCAGAGGUGUGAAGAAGCUGUGGAUCAUGAGGUGUGAUCACACUGACUGAAUUCACUCUUCACUCACGGCAUUCAAUGAGAUGGUCUCGUGUUUGUCCAUCUGAUCUGAACGCUCACAUGAGCUACUGAAACUUGUCUGGCUACAGAAUGCUAUGACAUGUGACUGCUACGCCGACCGAAUUUCCAGCCUUGUUGGUAAGAGUCACUUUCAAAUCAAAUGUUGCUAAUGUUCAGACAUGAUGAAUGUGAAUCAGGUCACUGAUCCAGUUGAAGAAUUAAGUCAUUUCUGAUCUGAUACUUAUUGCACGAUUUAACUUUGCAAGUCUCUGCAUCAUCCUAAUUGAAGCUGUUUUUGACUUUACAGAUCUAAUGGGAUCCUGGGCGGUUUGGUGCACAGUGUCACACAAACUAUGUUCUGAUCACUGAGGUCUGACUGAACGGCCCAGGCGCAGUGGACUGAGGAAUUGGCUGCAUCUAUUGGACUUACCUUGAAAGCAGAUGUAAUCUACUCCGGCCCUCAGCAAGCCUGAUGUUUUACUCUGAAGAUUCUGGAAACUGGAGUUUGACCUGCAGACAAUUGGAAAUCUCUUGCCAGAUGUGUUUUCAAUAAUGUUGCAAUAAAAAAAUUCAUACCAA